RNAcentral lists this ribosomal RNA (468 nucleotides) under uncultured bacterium. RNAcentral's name for it is "partial 16S ribosomal RNA". It matches the Rfam family "Bacterial small subunit ribosomal RNA", at positions 28 to 507 of the family's 1533-position model. The record is from RNAcentral.
GACGAACGCUGGCGGCGUGCUUAACACAUGCAAGUCGAACGGAAAGGCCCGGCUUUUGUGCGGUGCUCGAGUGGCGAAGGGGUGAGUAACACGUGAGUAACCUGCCCCUGACUGUGGGAUAUCUUCAUGAAACUGGGGCUAAUACCGGAUAGGAGCUCCUGCUGCAUGGUGGGGGUUGGAAAGUUUCGGCGGUUGGGGAUGGACUCGCGGCUUAUCAGAUUGUUGGGGGGGUAGUGGCAUACCAAGGCUUGGACGGGUAGCCGGCCUGGGAGGAGGACCGGCCCCAUUAGGACUGGAAUACGACCCAGACUCGAACGGGACGCAACGGAGGAGAAGAUAACACAGGAGGCUGAAGCCUGAUGCAACAACGCCGCGUGCGGUAAGACGUCCUUCGGGUUGUGAACCGCUUUCGCCUUUGCCGAGGCGUGAGUGACGGUACCGGGUAAAGAAGCACCGGCUAACUACGUG